Long non-coding RNA from Musa acuminata AAA Group (dessert banana), 1331 nucleotides. RefSeq lists it as uncharacterized. The transcript has 3 exons. NCBI's taxonomy places the organism in Eukaryota, Viridiplantae, Streptophyta, Magnoliopsida, Zingiberales, Musaceae. The record is from RefSeq and is a predicted model, not a curated record.
AUGGAUCCCAAUUCCAUCAAAACCGAUAUGGAAUCCGCCUUGCGAAUGGAGUUGCUGAAACCUUAGACACGAAGUCCAUUUCGCAGCUGGAGGACUCGGCCAGUAUAUAAACGAGCUCCGCGAUGGGUAGGAAAAGGAAGUGAGGACUCACAUGGCAGUGGUAGACGUAACCCAGGCACAGCAGUGGCAUCAGCUGCUUCUCGGAUAACCUAACUACACGAUGAAGAUAGAGAUUUGAAUCCAGGAUUUUACGAUGACCUAUUAUCAAGGUUUUUAUCAUCUAGGUGUCGGAGGGGGUGCGCUUGAGUGUGGCGGCUAGGUCGGAGACCUUGCGGCCGAGCAUGAGGGAGGCCAUCAUCUCGUCGGUUACUGCGGAUGUUCUCCAGCCGCCGGCGCUCGUACUCCGUCAGGGUAUCCGACGCCAUAAGCCAGUCGGCGACGAGAGAGAGAGAGAGAGGGCUUAUUAUCAUCUAAACUAGUCAACCCCAAAGUCAAAUAUCUGUCAUUCCCACCUACACCAAUUGCGUACCUAUAUAUAGAUUUGAGUCAUAUCCCUUUUCUUAAUAUAUAAUCAUCAAACCAAUAUUUGAAAUAUUAGUACUAUGGUCCACAUGUCACAUAGUUCUAUCUUGUAUGGAUUAGGAUCUAUCAUUAGGCUAGCAAAUAAUUUUUUUUAUUUUUAUUUUUUUUUUAAUUAAAAUUAUGAUUAAUUGUAAAUAAUUUUAAUUAAUAAUGUGAUAUGAGGAUGCAUAUUUCUACAAAAUUUCCAAAGGUAGGUUAGUCCCAUAUUAAUGAUCGGUUUGAUGCAGAAGGCCGAGCCGGGUUACGUCUGACAUUGCCCUGCGAGUGUUCAUCACCUGCGCCACCUGUUUGCCGGGUUAGGCAUCGUGCCAUUUCGAAUCAACGAGACUGCUCUUCGAUGGCUACAUGUCGAACGAAGCUUGGAUCGAUGACCAUAAAUCAACGUUGCAUGUUGCACUCCACCGCGCUGAUCUUCUGAUCACCUCCCACACCUCGGUGUUCCUCGAUUUCAGCAUCUUCGUCGUUGGGUCUUUGAAUCUCUUCCCGUUGAUGUACAGGUGUGUCGGGUUGCUCGUCGCGCUCUGUGUAGUCAUACAUCACGAUGUACCUCGUCACCAUCGCCUUCCUCUCGUCCACUACCAAAUAGUUUUGAUUAAGCUUGACGGUAUCCUCGGUUCAUUCAUAGUCUUCUUCGAUGAUAGGAUGAACUUCAUCACCUUGCUGUUGAGGGUGCUCGUCGGAGUUUUGUUAGGGUACGAAUAUGGUGCGUUGUUAGUCAAUAAAAUCGUUGAGGUGUUUGACUUGGAGAA